UCGUAAAAAUGGUUCUUGUUGGCGUGAAUCGGUUUGUUGUCGUAGGAGUGAGACAUUUUUCUACCUUCCAUCGGAUUGCAUCUCUAACUAAAGUAACAGCUCCAUAUUCAAUAAGACAAUACAGCGACAGUGGAAAGACACCAUUAAAAAAACCAGUCACACCAGUGGGUAAACAUGAUGACAAUGCAGAAUGCAACAGGAAGUGGCCAACAGGUGAACACCCAGAUGCAGAAAAGGAGCCAUUAGAAGCAUGGCCAAACAUGUUAAUCCAAAACUGGCGAGAUCGGUGGACCAGAGACCAGAACCGACCAGAUAUGGAGAUGGGAAAGGAAAGGACGAUGUAUUGACUUUUGAGUGUUUUUACUAGUUAACCUGCAGUAUAAUAGUAACAAAUUAAAAAAGACAUGUAGAAUUGUUGUUGAUGUAAUUUAUAGAACAUCUCAUGCUCCUUACAUUAAGUAUUUCACAAUUUAGCAAUUCGUGAAAGAUUGUUAAUUUUGACACUUGUUUAAAAGGAUGUCAAGGCAGUGCCUCAAUGCUGUUACACGCCAUAUUGAAAAGGUGCUUAUCUUAACUUAACCAUUGAAGUUGUAAUUUGAAUGCAAAGCUUCAUAUAACAUAAUAUUUAUUAAAGCGGUACCACAUUUUGUUCAAUACGAGCCCUAUGUGGCUACAAAACAUGUAAAAUACAUUGCUUGUUUACACAAGUGUGGUUCUUGUCUUUAUUAUUACAACUGUAUAGAAACAUGCAUAUUUAUGGUUUACAUAUAUAUAUUACGUAUGUAAUUGAAGAAUUCAUAUAUCAUAAAUAAAACACCAUGCAAUUUA
Molecule: non-coding RNA, 828 nt
Organism: Saccoglossus kowalevskii
Lineage: Eukaryota; Metazoa; Hemichordata; Enteropneusta; Harrimaniidae
Source: RefSeq, a predicted model, not a curated record